UAACUAUCCAGAGUGAUUGAGGGACUGGCCCGAUGACAUCCGGCAACCUGCAGAAUUUGUGAAAUGACUGUAAGGUGCUAAUUCCAGCAAAAUGGACCACCAUUUUGAAAGAUAGGAA
RNAcentral lists this non-coding RNA (118 nucleotides) under Sporolactobacillus laevolacticus. RNAcentral's name for it is "SAM-I sequence". It matches the Rfam family "SAM riboswitch aptamer (S box leader)". Rfam says of the family: The SAM riboswitch is found upstream of a number of genes which code for proteins involved in methionine or cysteine biosynthesis in Gram-positive bacteria. The SAM riboswitch acts at the level of transcription termination control. The predicted structure consists of a complex stem-loop region followed by a single stem loop terminator region. RNAcentral also lists the same sequence under 1 other name. The record is from RNAcentral. Lineage: Bacteria; Bacillati; Bacillota; Bacilli; Caryophanales; Sporolactobacillaceae.